Molecule: ribosomal RNA, 1536 nt
Filed under: Enterobacter cloacae
Lineage: Bacteria; Pseudomonadati; Pseudomonadota; Gammaproteobacteria; Enterobacterales; Enterobacteriaceae
Description: bacterial SSU rRNA
Rfam family: Bacterial small subunit ribosomal RNA
Source: RNAcentral
UUGAAGAGUUUGAUCAUGGCUCAGAUUGAACGCUGGCGGCAGGCCUAACACAUGCAAGUCGAACGGUAGCACAGAGAGCUUGCUCUCGGGUGACGAGUGGCGGACGGGUGAGUAAUGUCUGGGAAACUGCCUGAUGGAGGGGGAUAACUACUGGAAACGGUAGCUAAUACCGCAUAACGUCGCAAGACCAAAGAGGGGGACCUUCGGGCCUCUUGCCAUCAGAUGUGCCCAGAUGGGAUUAGCUAGUAGGUGGGGUAAUGGCUCACCUAGGCGACGAUCCCUAGCUGGUCUGAGAGGAUGACCAGCCACACUGGAACUGAGACACGGUCCAGACUCCUACGGGAGGCAGCAGUGGGGAAUAUUGCACAAUGGGCGCAAGCCUGAUGCAGCCAUGCCGCGUGUAUGAAGAAGGCCUUCGGGUUGUAAAGUACUUUCAGCGGGGAGGAAGGUGUUGUGGUUAAUAACCACAGCAAUUGACGUUACCCGCAGAAGAAGCACCGGCUAACUCCGUGCCAGCAGCCGCGGUAAUACGGAGGGUGCAAGCGUUAAUCGGAAUUACUGGGCGUAAAGCGCACGCAGGCGGUCUGUCAAGUCGGAUGUGAAAUCCCCGGGCUCAACCUGGGAACUGCAUUCGAAACUGGCAGGCUAGAGUCUUGUAGAGGGGGGUAGAAUUCCAGGUGUAGCGGUGAAAUGCGUAGAGAUCUGGAGGAAUACCGGUGGCGAAGGCGGCCCCCUGGACAAAGACUGACGCUCAGGUGCGAAAGCGUGGGGAGCAAACAGGAUUAGAUACCCUGGUAGUCCACGCCGUAAACGAUGUCGACUUGGAGGUUGUGCCCUUGAGGCGUGGCUUCCGGAGCUAACGCGUUAAGUCGACCGCCUGGGGAGUACGGCCGCAAGGUUAAAACUCAAAUGAAUUGACGGGGGCCCGCACAAGCGGUGGAGCAUGUGGUUUAAUUCGAUGCAACGCGAAGAACCUUACCUACUCUUGACAUCCAGAGAACUUAGCAGAGAUGCUUUGGUGCCUUCGGGAACUCUGAGACAGGUGCUGCAUGGCUGUCGUCAGCUCGUGUUGUGAAAUGUUGGGUUAAGUCCCGCAACGAGCGCAACCCUUAUCCUUUGUUGCCAGCGGUCCGGCCGGGAACUCAAAGGAGACUGCCAGUGAUAAACUGGAGGAAGGUGGGGAUGACGUCAAGUCAUCAUGGCCCUUACGAGUAGGGCUACACACGUGCUACAAUGGCGCAUACAAAGAGAAGCGACCUCGCGAGAGCAAGCGGACCUCAUAAAGUGCGUCGUAGUCCGGAUUGGAGUCUGCAACUCGACUCCAUGAAGUCGGAAUCGCUAGUAAUCGUAGAUCAGAAUGCUACGGUGAAUACGUUCCCGGGCCUUGUACACACCGCCCGUCACACCAUGGGAGUGGGUUGCAAAAGAAGUAGGUAGCUUAACCUUCGGGAGGGCGCUUACCACUUUGUGAUUCAUGACUGGGGUGAAGUCGUAACAAGGUAACCGUAGGGGAACCUGCGGUUGGAUCACCUCCUU